This is a non-coding RNA of Haemophilus sputorum HK 2154, 182 nucleotides long. Lineage: Bacteria; Pseudomonadati; Pseudomonadota; Gammaproteobacteria; Pasteurellales; Pasteurellaceae. The record is from Rfam.
UCUUGUCGGGGGUGUGCGUAGCUUAUUACGUCCCUGAGCCGAUAAUUUAAAACCUUGAGUUGGACAUCUAGUCACCGGUGAGCAAGCUUACCUUGAGUAAGAAGCCUAAAGGCGAAUACGUUUGACUCCCUUGAACCUUCUGGUUCAAGGACUACAAUAGGUUACGGCACCUCGGACACCAU